GUUUGAUCCUGGCUCAGGACGAACGCUGGCGGCGCGCUUAACACAUGCAAGUCGAGCGAGAACCAGGCCUUCGGGCCUGGGGAAAGCGGCGAACGGGUGAGUAACACGUGGGUAACCCACCCUUGGUACCGGGAUAGCCCGAGGAAACUCGGAUUAAUACCGGAUGGCCCAACAGCUUCUCGGAGCGGUUGGAAAAGGUAGCUUCGGCCUCCGACCAAGGACGGGCCCGCGGUGGAUUAGCUUGUUGGUGAGGUAACGGCUCACCAAGGCUUCGAUCCAUAGCUGGUCUGAGAGGACGAUCAGCCACACUGGGACUGAGACACGGCCCAGACUCCUACGGGAGGCAGCAGUGGGGAAUCUUGCGCAAUGGGCGAAAGCCUGACGCAGCGACGCCGCGUGGGGGAAGAAGGCUUUCGGGUUGUAAACCCCUUUCAGGAAGGACGAAGCCACUCGGGUUAAUAGCCCAGAGGGUGACGGUACUUCCAGAAGAAGCCCCGGCUAACUACGUGCCAGCAGCCGCGGUAAUACGUAGGGGGCAAGCGUUGUCCGGAUUUAUUGGGCGUAAAGAGCGUGUAGGCGGUCAGGUAGGUCCGUUGUGAAAACUCGAGGCUCAACCUCGAGACGCCGAUGGAAACCAUCUGACUAGAGUCCGGAAGAGGAGAGUGGAAUUCCUGGUGUAGCGGUGAAAUGCGCAGAUAUCAGGAAGAACACCCGUGGCUAAGGCGGCUCUCUAGUACGGUACUGACGCUGAGACGCGAAAGCGUGGGGAGCGAACAGGAUUAGAUACCCUGGUAGUCCACGCCGU
Molecule: ribosomal RNA, 805 nt
Filed under: uncultured Actinomycetes bacterium
Lineage: Bacteria; Bacillati; Actinomycetota; Actinomycetes
Description: bacterial SSU rRNA
Rfam family: Bacterial small subunit ribosomal RNA
Source: RNAcentral